GCGGUGGAGCAUGUGGUUUAAUUCGACGCAACGCGAAGAACCUUACCUGGGCUUGACAUCCCGAUCGUACCUGCUGGAAACAGCGGGGUCAGUUCGGCUGGAUCGGAGACAGGUGCUGCAUGGCUGUCGUCAGCUCGUGUCGUGAGAUGUUGGGUUAAGUCCCGCAACGAGCGCAACCCUUGUCCUUAGUUGCCAUCAUUUAGUUGGGCACUCUAAGGAGACUGCCGGUGUUAAACCGGAGGAAGGUGGGGAUGACGUCAAGUCCUCAUGGCCCUUAUGUCCAGGGCUACACACGUGCUACAAUGGCCGGUACAAAGGGCAGCAAAGCCGCGAGGUGGAGCAAAUCCGAAAAAGCCGGUCUCAGUUCGGAUUGCAGGCUGCAAUUCGCCUGCAUGAAGUCGGAAUCGCUAGUAAUCGCAGGUCAGCAUACUGCGGUGAAUACGUUCCCGGGCCUU
RNAcentral lists this ribosomal RNA (455 nucleotides) under uncultured Desulfuromonas sp. Its description in RNAcentral is "bacterial SSU rRNA". It matches the Rfam family "Bacterial small subunit ribosomal RNA", at positions 929 to 1382 of the family's 1533-position model. The record is from RNAcentral. Lineage: Bacteria; Pseudomonadati; Thermodesulfobacteriota; Desulfuromonadia; Desulfuromonadales; Desulfuromonadaceae.